AAUUAUUGGGUAAGGCUAACU
Molecule: small nuclear RNA, 21 nt
Filed under: Arabidopsis thaliana (thale cress)
Lineage: Eukaryota; Viridiplantae; Streptophyta; Magnoliopsida; Brassicales; Brassicaceae
Description: snRNA_13808
Source: RNAcentral